This 461-nucleotide ribosomal RNA is filed under the name uncultured bacterium. RNAcentral describes it as "bacterial SSU rRNA". It matches the Rfam family "Bacterial small subunit ribosomal RNA", at positions 917 to 1382 of the family's 1533-position model. The record is from RNAcentral.
GAGCCCGCACAAGCAGUGGAGUAUGUGGUUUAAUUCGACGCAACGCGAAGAACCUUACCAGGACUUGACAUCCUAAGAAUCCGGCGUAAUGGCUGGAGUGCCCUUCGGGGAGCUUAGAGACAGGUGGUGCAUGGUUGUCGUCAGCUCGUGUCGUGAGAUGUUGGGUUAAGUCCCGCAACGAGCGCAACCCUUACGGUUAGUUGCUACGAAAGAGCACUCUAGCCGGACUGCCGUUGACAAAACGGAGGAAGGUGGGGACGACGUCAAAUCAUCAUGCCCCUUACGUUCUGGGCUACACACGUACUACAAUGGCGUUUAACAGAGGGGAGCGAAGGAGCGAUCUGGAGCAAAACCCAAAAAGGCGCCCCAGUUCAGAUUGUAGGCUGCAACCCGCCUAUAUGAAGUUGGAAUUGCUAGUAAUCGCAAAUCAGAAUGUUGCGGUGAAUACGUUCCCGGGCUUU